ACUCCUACGGGAGGCAGCAGUGGGGAAUAUUGCACAAUGGGGGAAACCCUGAUGCAGCCAUGCCGCGUGUGUGAAGAAGGCCUUCGGGUUGUAAAGCACUUUCAGUAGGGAGGAAAGGGUGAGUCUUAAUACGGCUCAUCUGUGACGUUACCUACAGAAGAAGGACCGGCUAACUCCGUGCCAGCAGCCGCGGUAAUACGGAGGGUCCGAGCGUUAAUCGGAAUUACUGGGCGUAAAGCGUGCGCAGGCGGUUUGUUAAGCGAGAUGUGAAAGCCCUGGGCUCAACCUAGGAAUAGCAUUUCGAACUGGCGAACUAGAGUCUUGUAGAGGGGGGUAGAAUUCCAGGUGUAGCGGUGAAAUGCGUAGAGAUCUGGAGGAAUACCGGUGGCGAAGGCGGCCCCCUGGACAAAGACUGACGCUCAUGCACGAAAGCGUGGGGAGCAAACAGGAUUAGAUACCCUGGUAGUCCACGCCGUAAACGAUGUCUACUCGGAGUUUGGUGUCUUGAACACUGGGCUCUCAAGCUAACGCAUUAAGUAGACCGCCUGGGGAGUACGGCCGCAAGGUUAAAACUCAAAUGAAUUGACGGGGGCCCGCACAAGCGGUGGAGCAUGUGGUUUAAUUCGAUGCAACGCGAAGAACCUUACCUACUCUUGACAUC
This 661-nucleotide ribosomal RNA is filed under the name uncultured Shewanella sp. RNAcentral's name for it is "bacterial SSU rRNA". It matches the Rfam family "Bacterial small subunit ribosomal RNA", at positions 335 to 988 of the family's 1533-position model. The record is from RNAcentral. Lineage: Bacteria; Pseudomonadati; Pseudomonadota; Gammaproteobacteria; Alteromonadales; Shewanellaceae.